Molecule: transfer RNA, 77 nt
Filed under: Patescibacteria group bacterium
Lineage: Bacteria
Description: tRNA-Arg
Rfam family: tRNA
About the family: Transfer RNA (tRNA) molecules are approximately 80 nucleotides in length. Their secondary structure includes four short double-helical elements and three loops (D, anti-codon, and T loops).
Source: RNAcentral
GUCCCUGUAGCUCAGCUGGAUAGAGCAGGCCCGUCCUAAGGGCAAGAUCGGAGGUUCGACUCCUCUCAGGGACGCCA